This 208-nucleotide long non-coding RNA is filed under the name Gossypium raimondii (Peruvian cotton). Its description in RNAcentral is "long non-coding RNA (GRAI_LNC000188)". The record is from RNAcentral. Lineage: Eukaryota; Viridiplantae; Streptophyta; Magnoliopsida; Malvales; Malvaceae.
GAAUUUGCUAUACCCCUAUCAGCCUUUCACUGAUAUUACUUGCCGCGAAUCUACCCUUCUCCCAUGUAAACUAUCAACCAAUGAACCCCAAAUCACUCAAGUCACAAUCUUGCAACAAAACUCUAAAAGCUUCCAUGAUCCUCUCUAAUCUCAACCUACCGCAUUUCUUUUGAAAGGAGUAGGUUAUCUCGUUGAAAUCCCCUACAAC